UAGGGAAUCUUCGGCAAUGGGGGGAACCCUGACCGAGCAACGCCGCGUGAGUGAAGAAGGUUUUCGGAUCGUAAAGCUCUGUUGUUAAGGAAGAACGAGUGUGAGAAUGGAAAGUUCAUACUGUGACGGUACUUAACCAGAAAGGGACGGCUAACUACGUGCCAGCAGCCGCGGUAAUACGUAGGUCCCGAGCGUUGUCCGGAUUUAUUGGGCGUAAAGCGAGCGCAGGCGGUUAGAUAAGUCUGAAGUUAAAGGCAGUUGCUCAACCAUUGUAGGCUUUGGAAACUGUUUAAAUUGAGUGCAGAAGGGGAGAGGGGAAUUCCAUGUGUAGCGGUGAAAUGCGUAGAUAUAUGGAGGAACACCGGUGGCGAAAGCGGCUCUCUGGUCUGUAACUGACGCUGAGGCUCGAAAGCGUGGGGAGCGAACAGG
Molecule: ribosomal RNA, 429 nt
Filed under: Bacteroidota bacterium
Lineage: Bacteria; Pseudomonadati; Bacteroidota
Description: Bacteroidetes bacterium partial 16S ribosomal RNA
Rfam family: Bacterial small subunit ribosomal RNA
Source: RNAcentral